This 85-nucleotide transfer RNA is filed under the name Alcaligenes faecalis. RNAcentral describes it as "tRNA-Leu". It matches the Rfam family "tRNA". Rfam says of the family: Transfer RNA (tRNA) molecules are approximately 80 nucleotides in length. Their secondary structure includes four short double-helical elements and three loops (D, anti-codon, and T loops). Further hydrogen bonds mediate the characteristic L-shaped molecular structure. tRNAs have two regions of fundamental functional importance: the anti-codon, which is responsible for specific mRNA codon recognition, and the 3' end, to which the tRNAs corresponding amino acid is attached (by aminoacyl-tRNA synthetases). tRNAs cope with the degeneracy of the genetic code in two manners: having more than one tRNA (with a specific anti-codon) for a particular amino acid; and 'wobble' base-pairing, i.e. permitting non-standard base-pairing at the 3rd anti-codon position. Lineage: Bacteria; Pseudomonadati; Pseudomonadota; Betaproteobacteria; Burkholderiales; Alcaligenaceae. RNAcentral also lists the same sequence under 81 other names. The record is from RNAcentral.
GCGAACGUGGCGGAAUUGGUAGACGCACCAGAUUUAGGUUCUGGCGCCGAGAGGUGUGAGAGUUCGAGUCUCUCCGUUCGCACCA